Molecule: ribosomal RNA, 497 nt
Filed under: uncultured bacterium
Lineage: Bacteria
Description: partial 16S ribosomal RNA
Rfam family: Bacterial small subunit ribosomal RNA
Source: RNAcentral
GAUGAACGCUGGCGGCGUGCCUAAUACAUGCAAGUCGAGCGAACGGACGAGAAGCUUGCUUCUCUGAUGUUAGCGGCGGACGGGUGAGUAACACGUGGAUAACCUACCUAUAAGACUGGGAUAACUUCGGGAAACCGGAGCUAAUACCGGAUAAUAUUUUGAACCGCAUGGUUCAAAAGUGAAAGACGGUCUUGCUGUCACUUAUAGAUGGAUCCGCGCUGCAUUAGCUAGUUGGUAAGGUAACGGCUUACCAAGGCAACGAUGCAUAGCCGACCUGAGAGGCUGAUCGGCCACACUGGAACUGGGACAGGGUCCAGAGUCCUACGGGAGGCAGCAGUAGGGAAUGUUCCGCAAUGGGCGAAAGCCUGACGGAGCAACGCCGCGUGAGUGAUGAAGGUCUUCGGAUCGUAAAGCUCUGUUAUGAGGGGAGAACAUAUGUGUAAGUAACUGUGCACAGCUUGACGGUACCUAAUCAGAAAGCCACGGCUAACUACGUG